RNA transcript from Mercenaria mercenaria, 4461 nucleotides. It is a transcript of the gene named monocarboxylate transporter 13-like, with no coding region annotated. The record is from RefSeq and is a predicted model, not a curated record. The transcript has 5 exons. Lineage: Eukaryota; Metazoa; Mollusca; Bivalvia; Venerida; Veneridae.
UUAAGAAAAAACUGUUGAAAAUUGGUGAAUUUUGAUGUUCUUUUUGUUUUAACAUAUGUUUUCUAGAUAAUAUAAUGUGCUAUCUUGAAAACUUUUAUUUCAAUUAUUGCUCAUCAUUAUAUGUAUCUGUCAGGAAAAUUUCAAAACCAAACCUAAUCUACUUUAAUAGAUAUUUGACAUUACCUACCCCUACCCCAUUGUAAAUCUUACAUCAAUACCAGCCAAAAAUAAGGGUGACAAAUUUUUUUUCGCAAACAGUAGAAUCUGUUUGCUUAAAUGGUACAUUAUUAGCCAUAUUUUAAUUAUGUAUGAUUAAUUUUUGGCAAAACUUUUGUUAGAAAGCACUAUUCGGAGAAACAUUUUUCAAAAUGGCGGAUAUCCUGAAAAAAAACACGCUCGUACAUCCUUAAGUACUGAAUGCAAUAUCAUGAAUAUCCGAAAGAGACAAUAUUCAGUCAAAAGAAUGGUUUAGGAACAUUUUUUCCGUUUUUCCUACCAUUUUCAUCAGUGCGAGAAAACUCCGUACUACACAUCAUUUUCAAAUACCUCCCACACAAUGCGUCGAAAAUUUCGCUUUUUUUAUUUGACCGACCCAUAUGAUUAGAAGAUAUAAUGUGCAAACGAGAUUUCUACCAGACAGAUUAGCUGAUUAUUGAGAAAAAUUUGGAAACUAAAAUUUAGAAAUUCUAUCCGCAGUAAUAAUGUCUUUUUGGUCUCAUUUGUCAGGCCGUCAUUAACAAACGAAGGCAUUGAUAAAUAUGCUCAUGCAUGGAAACAGAAAGUUGGACUAUCUUUGGUGGAACAUUUACAUUUGAUACAAAGUGAAGACAAACCGAUUUUCCUUGUUGACAACUCCUCCGAAACGGUUGGUUUGAAUCGGAAAAUCGACGUCAUGUUUUGCCGUACUGUUUUGGUCAGUAUUUGCCCACGACUUCGCCACUGUGAACAUCGUUUAUCACUAUAAUUCUGAAUUAGUAAUCUAAAGGCUCUUCUGUGACAAGGUAUAUCAUUACCUGUUUUUCCGGAGAUGUAAUUUGUAAACCCUCUUGUGUAUAGCCAUUUCCGACUGUCAUUUGUCAAAACUCCAAUAGGCUAUGCCUGUAUUUUUCUGAGACACACCACAUAUUUAAUGUUCAUAGUUUACAACGAUUUCCUCUGUGGUGUAUAAUUUAGGUCGCAAGUCUGCUUCGCUUGUGCGCGCACAUUCCGAAAUACACGUGCACGUAUAGAAAUAUGCGUUCAGUCUUAGAUAUAUACGUCCAUAUGUAUAUGCUUAUACGUGCACGCCGCGUUAAUAUGAAGCUAACGCUUAUAUGCUCUGCUGACUACACUAAUCAAGAACCAGAAAAAUAUCGACUUAGUAGAUUAUCUCUGCUGUCUUUCGCCAAAUUGAACUACAGGAACCGAGUUACAACGCGCUUAAAAUUUUAUGCUGUUUCUCUGUACACUUUAUUUCUUGUUACGUGACUUUGCCAAGCAGAAUUUCAUCCAGAAGACCUGGUAAAAUGUAUGUUAAAAUAGAUUGUAAUCAGUUGCACUUGAAUUUUAAAGGGUCAUAUUAAUUUUGCUUGUAGUAUAGCUACCACAGUUUUAGGUAUGAACAAAAGAUAUAAUAAUUUCUUGUUAAAUCCUAUUUCCAAUAUGUUUUGUGAACAUAAGUCAAAUGUUGUAAUAUCUGAUUCACAUAGUAGAAAGUAUUGUUCAAUCUAUUGCUUUUGAUUACCUCCCUUUAUGACCCUAACCGUACACGUUCGUGUGCAUUUGAUUUUGUUUUCUAACCAUAUAAUUAUGCAAAAUCAUGCUCACACUUCAUUUGAAGACCUUUUCUAAACAUAAAAUUAAAAGCCUUAUUGGACAUUAUAAUGUAAACACUACGAAAACUGGUUAUAUAAAACUGCUAUCAGAAUAUUUAAAACUUGGUUUAUCAAAUUUAACUUUUUGUGCUAAAGGGAUUUAAUUACUUUCAAAUUGUAAUUAUGGUAAAAGUUUGUGUAUAAGAUUCAGUGUCAUCCGCUUAUCCAUAACAAAAUGAUAUUCAGUGCGAAUUAUAGUCAAUGAAAAUAUAGGUAUUCUGUAUGAUAUUCAGGAAUGUGCAGGAAAAGAUACCACCUUUUAUUUAUACAACUUGUCUAACCCUUCCUGUCAAAAACCGAAUUUAAGGAUAAUUUAACAUCUGACGAAAGAGUUCCGUGAUGAAAUUACAAAAAUCGGACUCGAAAGGCAAACGACUGAAACUUAUAAUACACAUGAUUAUCUAGCAGUAAAAAAACAUAAAACGGCAAAUGAAAUUAUGCACCUUUUGAGUGGUACACCUAGCUUUCACAUCUUAUUCUUGUGAAUUUUCCAAAACAAAAGUAAGCCAUGCAUAGAACAUAAACUUGAUCAGUGCGUCUUUAUUUUAUAGAAAAAAAAAGCGGACGGGAUUAUGUGCCAGACGUAAGCAUUGAGAGACAAUACAAUAAGGAAACAGUUACGGCUUUAUCAUGGUUAUCAGAGUUAACAGAGGACUGGUGUUCGUUUUCUGUCUUCUGAAGGACUUCAUGGAAUUCGGUAUCGUAUUUGCGUUUGGAGCUUUCUUUGAUGAGCUUCUGGGCACAUUCCAGAAAGAUCGCAGAACAACUGCAACUUUGCAAUCACUUCUUGUUGGAGUAACUUUAAGUUUUGGUGUUGUCAGCGGAGCUCUCAUCACUAAACUAGGGCUCCCAUUGGUUACGCUUCUAUCUUGUAUACUCGUUCCACUUGGUUUUGGUGUCUCUUUCUUUGCUACCAGAAUAGGGCAUCUAUACGUAAGCAUCGGCAUUGUAUCAGGUAUGAUGUGACUAAAGCUUCUCCUUGACGAAGCACUGGUGUAUGGCUAAAGCCGGGUAGGCUUUUUGAAAGCAGACCGCAUCUGUUCAUACGCAUUUGUAUGGUAUCAUGUAUGUGCAGGAAGCAGUGACGUAAGACAAAAUUUUCGGUGCUCUAACAUCAGGGGCUUAUGUGUCAUGUGAUCCGUGUCGCUUCAAUUCUUCAUUCAGUAAUACCGGGGUUGGAAUUUCAAUGGGACAUGUCAGUGCUGUUGUGAUGGUUGGUAGAAUUUUUACAGGCAAAAAGAGAGUUCUGCUUUUAGCUGUGCUGAGUGCUUCUUCCCCGUUAUCUGGAUUGGUCUACCCGUAUUUUCUAAACUGGUUGAUGACAUUGUUUGAUCUGAGUGAGACGUUUCUAAUCCUUGGAGCUAUUUAUAGUAACACAUUCCCAUUGUUCAUAUUAUGUUGGAUGAAUCGGAGCACACUUCAAGAUGUUGAAUUGUCUUCGAGGAAUUCUAAAAUUAAGACAAACUUAAAGGCUGAGGCACCAUUCCCCACAAUAAAACAUAAAGGACAUUUUAUCAUAAACAGUUUUCAAACAUUGAGAGAAAUGGUGAACACAACCUACCUUUUGUUACUUUUUGCCACCGCUAUUUCAAUUACUGGCAUAAAUGGAUAUUCGAGGAUGAUUCUUGAUAUUUGUAGAUGGAAAGGUUUCAGUAAAUCUCGGGGACUAUUAACAUUUGUCUUUUUCAACAUCGCUAACACUGUCGCAAGACUUGUACCGGGUGUGCUUAGCGUGGAUUCAAUUCUUUUAUUUACCCUAUAAUUUCCACUCUAUCUGGUUGUGUCGGGCAGUUAUUACUCUAUAAAGGCCAGAGCUAUGUUUUAUAUGUGUUAGGAACUUGUCUGUCUGGCUUUGCAAUCGGCGGAGUUGUUUCUGCACAAUUGAUUCUUGUGUUGGAAACAGUACGUUCAGAAUUUAUCCCAGUAGGAUCAGGACUACUUUUUACAAUGACAGGUGUAAUAUCUGCUACAACAGGCCCGAUAUUUGGCAGCCUGAGAGACAAUUCCGGUACUUACGAAAGCAUUGUCCUUAUAGUCAGUGUAAUAGAGGCGAUUGCAGCGAUUUUCUUUGCCCUUGCUCUUGUCUACAGAAGAAUUAAUAAUGCUAAAAAGCAAGCAAAGAAAUCAACAGAAGAUUCUAUAGGAUUCAUAGGCACUCAUUAAUAGUAACACAUGUUCAUAGUUUAGUGAUGUUUUGGGAGAAUCGGGACAAUCCUAAUUUUGUUGAUUUGUCUUCGGAGCACCUUUUUUAAGAUAAGACAAACAAAGAAAAUAAGGCACCCAGUACUGCAAUAAGAAGCGAACAAAACGCUUGGAGUCAGCUCGGUUAUGUUACCUUGUCAUUCAGAAGCAUAGAGGUCAUUCAAUCUUCAAGUGACAAGUAACAUUACAUCUCAUGUACAGACUCGAGGUAGCUAUGCUUAUAUGCCAGCAGUUUAGGUAGAGACAAACCAUUUAUAUAAAUCGCUGAAGCAUAUGUAAAAUAGAAGUCUAGAUAUAGAUCAGUGACUUUUUCAUACCUCCUCUUGUCAGGGACAGAUACAUAGACAUUUUCAAACUGACUAUAUAUAAUGUUUCGUUCAUUUCUAAAUAUGUAUUCAAUAUAUUU